Molecule: unclassified non-coding RNA, 344 nt
Filed under: fungal sp.
Lineage: Eukaryota; Fungi
Description: partial internal transcribed spacer region
Rfam family: Eukaryotic small subunit ribosomal RNA (bases 1-46)
Source: RNAcentral
AAGUCGUAACAAGGUUUCCGUAGGUGAACCUGCGGAAGGAUCAUUAGCGCCGUUGUGUUUUUUUCUUUUUUCCUUCCAACUCGUUUUUUCUUUGUGAACUUUCAUUGGUUUUUCUUUUGUUUGAUUUUGAACUUGUGUGUGAGAAGAAGAGAAGGAGAUGUGAGUGGUGGGGCUCGCUGGAGGGUGUUGCACCUUCCUCGAAUCUCAUCACUCUCACUCUCACUCUUCUCUCUCCACACAUUUUCAAAACACCAACCACACUCACCAAAUCCAAUCACUUGGUCAAACUCAAACCAAAUCAAAAAACAAAAAAACAACUCUUAACAAUGGAUUUCUUGGUUCUC